RNAcentral lists this ribosomal RNA (254 nucleotides) under uncultured bacterium. RNAcentral describes it as "partial 16S ribosomal RNA". It matches the Rfam family "Bacterial small subunit ribosomal RNA", at positions 524 to 777 of the family's 1533-position model. The record is from RNAcentral.
UACGGAGGGAGCUAGCGUUAUUCGGAAUUACUGGGCGUAAAGCGCACGUAGGCGGCUUUGUAAGUUAGAGGUGAAAGCCCGGGGCUCAACUCCGGAAUUGCCUUUAAGACUGCAUCGCUAGAAUUGUGGAGAGGUAAGUGGAAUUCCGAGUGUAGAGGUGAAAUUCGUAGAUAUUCGGAAGAACACCAGUGGCGAAGGCGACUUACUGGACACAUAUUGACGCUGAGGUGCGAAAGCGUGGGGAGCAAACAGGG